Molecule: ribosomal RNA, 497 nt
Filed under: uncultured bacterium
Lineage: Bacteria
Description: partial 16S ribosomal RNA
Rfam family: Bacterial small subunit ribosomal RNA
Source: RNAcentral
GAUGAACGCUGGCGGCGUGCCUAAUACAUGCAAGUCGAGCGAACAGAUAAGGAGCUUGCUCCUUUGACGUUAGCGGCGGACGGGUGAGUAACACGUGGGUAACCUAUCUAUAAGACUGGAAUAACUCCGGGAAACCGGGGCUAAUGCCGGAUAACAUGUUGAACCGCAUGGUUCUACAGUGAAAGGCGGCUUUGCUGUCACUUAUAGAUGGACCCGCGCCGUAUUAGCUAGUUGGUGAGGUAACGGCUCACCAAGGCAACGAUACGUAGCCGACCUGAGAGGGUGAUCGGCCACACUGGAACUGAGACACGGUCCAGACUCCUACGGGAGGCAGCAGUAGGGAAUCUUCCGCAAUGGGCGAAAGCCUGACGGAGCAACGCCGCGUGAGUGAUGAAGGUCUUCGGAUCGUAAAACUCUGUUAUUAGGGAAGAACAAAUGCGCAAGUAACUGUGCGCGUCUUGACGGUACCUAAUCAGAAAGCCACGGCUAACUACGUG